This 497-nucleotide ribosomal RNA is filed under the name uncultured bacterium. RNAcentral describes it as "partial 16S ribosomal RNA". It matches the Rfam family "Bacterial small subunit ribosomal RNA", at positions 28 to 507 of the family's 1533-position model. The record is from RNAcentral.
GACGAACGCUGGCGGCGUGCCUAAUACAUGCAAGUAGAACGCUGAAGAGAGGAGCUUGCUCUUCUUGGAUGAGUUGCGAACGGGUGAGUAACGCGUAGGUAACCUGCCUUGUAGCGGGGGAUAACUAUUGGAAACGAUAGCUAAUACCGCAUAACAAUGGAUGACACAUGUCAUUUAUUUGAAAGGGGCAAUUGCUCCACUACAAGAUGGACCUGCGUUGUAUUAGCUAGUAGGUGAGGUAAUGGCUCACCUAGGCGACGAUACAUAGCCGACCUGAGAGGGUGAUCGGCCACACUGGGACUGAGACACGGCCCAGACUCCUACGGGAGGCAGCAGUAGGGAAUCUUCGGCAAUGGGGGCAACCCUGACCGAGCAACGCCGCGUGAGUGAAGAAGGGUUUCGGAUCGUAAAGCUCUGUCGUAAGUCAAGAACGGGUGUGAGAGUGGAAAGUUCACACUGUGACGGUAGCUUACCAGAAAGGGACGGCUAACUACGUG